RNAcentral lists this ribosomal RNA (680 nucleotides) under Klebsiella pneumoniae. Its description in RNAcentral is "bacterial SSU rRNA". It matches the Rfam family "Bacterial small subunit ribosomal RNA", at positions 54 to 727 of the family's 1533-position model. Lineage: Bacteria; Pseudomonadati; Pseudomonadota; Gammaproteobacteria; Enterobacterales; Enterobacteriaceae. The record is from RNAcentral.
UAUGCCUCACGAACGGUAACACGUGCUCUUACGGUUGCUGACGAGUGGCGAACGGGUGAGUAAUACAUCGGAACGUGCCCGAUCGUGGGGGAUAACGAAGCGAAAGCUUUGCUAAUACCGCAUACGAUCUACGGAUGAAAGCAGGGGACCGCAAGGCCUUGCGCGAACGGAGCGGCCGAUGGCAGAUUAGGUAGUUGGUGGGAUAAAAGCUUACCAAGCCGACGAUCUGUAGCUGGUCUGAGAGGACGACCAGCCACACUGGGACUGAGACACGGCCCAGACUCCUACGGGAGGCAGCAGUGGGGAAUUUUGGACAAUGGGCGAAAGCCUGAUCCAGCCAUGCCGCGUGCAGGAUGAAGGCCUUCGGGUUGUAAACUGCUUUUGUACGGAACGAAAAGACUCUGGUUAAUACCUGGGGUCCAUGACGGUACCGUAAGAAUAAGCACCGGCUAACUACGUGCCAGCAGCCGCGGUAAUACGUAGGGUGCAAGCGUUAAUCGGAAUUACUGGGCGUAAAGCGUGCGCAGGCGGUUAUAUAAGACAGAUGUGAAAUCCCCGGGCUCAACCUGGGAACUGCAUUUGUGACUGUAUAGCUAGAGUACGGCAGAGGGGGAUGGAAUUCCGCGUGUAGCAGUGAAAUGCGUAGAUAUGCGGAGGAACACCGAUGGCGAAGGCAAUCC